CUACGGGCCGCUGCAGUGGGGAAUUUUGGACAAUGGGCGCAAGCCUGAUCCAGCCAUUCCGCGUGAGUGAAGAAGGCCUUCGGGUUGUAAAGCUCUUUCGCAAGGGAAGAAAACUUACUUUCUAAUAAAGAGUGAGGUUGACGGUACCUUGAUAAGAAGCACCGGCUAACUACGUGCCAGCAGCCGCGGUAAUACGUAGGGUGCGAGCGUUAAUCGGAAUUACUGGGCGUAAAGCGUGCGCAGGCGGUUUUGUAAGUCAGAUGUGAAAUCCCCGAGCUCAACUUGGGAACUGCGUUUGAAACUACAAGACUAGAAUAUGUCAGAGGGGGGUAGAAUUCCACGUGUAGCAGUGAAAUGCGUAGAGAUGUGGAGGAAUACCAAUGGCGAAGGCAGCCCCCUGGGAUAAUAUUGACGCUCAUGCACGAAAGCGUGGGGAGCAAACAGGAUUAGAUACCCGGGUAGUC
This 464-nucleotide ribosomal RNA is filed under the name uncultured bacterium. RNAcentral's name for it is "partial 16S ribosomal RNA". It matches the Rfam family "Bacterial small subunit ribosomal RNA", at positions 339 to 795 of the family's 1533-position model. The record is from RNAcentral.